GUGCUCGCUUCAGCAGCACAUAUACUAAAAUUGGAACGAUACAGAGAAGAUUAGCAUGGCACCAUGGAGAACUGAGACUGCAACAUUUUUAU
This 92-nucleotide small nuclear RNA is filed under the name Podarcis muralis (Common wall lizard). Lineage: Eukaryota; Metazoa; Chordata; Lepidosauria; Squamata; Lacertidae. The record is from RNAcentral.